RNAcentral lists this long non-coding RNA (911 nucleotides) under Homo sapiens (human). RNAcentral describes it as "HSALNT0114140". Lineage: Eukaryota; Metazoa; Chordata; Mammalia; Primates; Hominidae. The record is from RNAcentral.
AGAGCUGGAAGAAACGAAGAACCUCAACAAUUUUUAUUUCUACUUUUGAUCAAGGAAAAGCGUAUUUAGAAGGUUCGCUAGAGAAAAAUUUAGCAGUUUGGAGGAUUGAGAUCCUUUGGCAGAGAUAUGGGAGUGUGAGCAGGAAAUAUUUUUUUAAAGGAAGAGCUGGUGUUUUAGGAUGUCAAAGGUACAAAUUAUGAUGGUGCCAUGGUUGACAGAAAUUUGCAAGAUCUCCGUAUCUACAUGAACUCUUUGCUCCUGACUAUUAGCUGACUGGUCCAGAAAUUCUUGAUCCAAGCUUGAUAUGUAAGCUUCUCUCUCCUGUGAAUAUGGCACUGAGAGACACAAGAUUAGAAGCCCUGGGUGCUGAUCAAACUCAUAGCAAGGAAGAGUGGUGGCUCAAGACUGCCUGCUCCUGAGACUUCUGAGAAGGGUGUCUCUCUGUCUGUGUGGAUGCCUGAUGCUUCUGGUAUUUCACAAAUCUUGAGCCUGGCCAGGAGUUUACUAACAGGCACCCCUGUGUCAUCUGAACAAGAUAAAUAUCCCGCAGUGGAAUCAGCCUUCCCAGGGACCUCCCUGGACUCUGAGAAGUGAUUAAAGGGACUGUGCGGCAGUCAUGGGGAUGCAAGCAGCUGUGGCCAUCAAACUGGUUCUAACAGACAGUAUGAGAUCUUCAUGAUUCUGGACCAUAAGGAUUCCAAAUAGGCUGUUCACUUAUGAGUAGGCCUGUAACACGGACGUGUGAGAAUAAACGCCAGAGAAAAAUUUUUGAUGGUAUUGACAUGGAAUGCAUCUGUGGCACAGGCCAGCGAAGAGAUGGGUUGGCUUCCUCUUCGAGUCAGAGCAAAAGGAUGUGGCAAAAAAGAUCUAAGGAUGCCAUGAGGAAUUCCAUGUGUACAUGCAGGUCGUGG